Long non-coding RNA from Centrocercus urophasianus (Greater sage-grouse), 1082 nucleotides. RefSeq lists it as uncharacterized. The record is from RefSeq and is a predicted model, not a curated record. The transcript is spliced from 4 exons. NCBI's taxonomy places the organism in Eukaryota, Metazoa, Chordata, Aves, Galliformes, Phasianidae.
UCAGCAUCUGGGAUACUGUGUAAGAUAUUCUUUAAAAUAUGACUUCAGACCCUGCAGCUGGUCAAACAGUGGUACCACUGUGAGGGAAAUAUUUCAGAAGAACUAUGUACCUUGCGUUGGAAGAUUUUCUUUUGUCUUUCUCUAAUCAUUCCAGAUACCUUGCCAGCUGCAGUGAGUUCCAAAGCCUCUCCCUUUAACUAAGUAGUUCAGGAGCAAUUUGACAUGAUUCCUGUCUGGAAAGUACAUUCCAAAGAUGCUGGACAUGGCUGCUGCUCUCAUUGAUUCUAAAAUGAGCUACAAUGAGGAUGUAUGCUCAGGAAGGGGACACCAUGUUUUGCACCCAAGGAUCCAGUAACAAAACAGAGGCUUCCAGCCUUGUUCCCAGUUAUCAAGCAAGAUGAGAAAAUGGAACCUGGAAGAAGAGUUCUAUACCUGUGCCUGAAGAUCAAAGGUCAGCAUGGAAAAACAGAGAUUCAGCAUGAAGUAUUGUGACUGUAGGCUUUCUAGAGCACCACCCACUCGAAAGGCCAUCAUGCUUUGACUCUGAAUAAGGAUGAUGGCACAGAUGACAUCAAAGGAGCCAACCAAGAGGAUGAGAAUGAAGCGGGCCUGAUGAGAAAGAGAAAUAAGCAUGUGACUGGUCAUGCUGAAACAGUGAUAGUUCUAUCUUUAAAUCUUCUAACUAGAAAUGAAGGAAUAAAAGGAUGACUACAGGGAAGAAGGAAUCUCCUCACAUUUGUGAUAAGUAUGCAAACAUGAAAGGGAAGCACAGCAGGGGAAAGUUUAACUACUGAAGUUAGUAACACGGUUAUCACUCUUAAAAACACAAUGUUGCAUUUGUGGAUGUUAGGAGUUGCUAGUGGCUGUGUCCUUGCAUACAGACCUGACGUUCCAGUUCCAUUCAGUCGAAUUUAUGUGACUUUGGCCAGUGAUUUUAUAGGUGAAAAUCUGAUGCAGGGUAAGUAAACCAAUGGCAACACAUUCUGCAGUAAUUCUGUGUAAGUAAUGUCAUUUGAUACUGAUGUUACUUUCAGGUACUUGCAUAAAGAAACCCAUAGAACUGUACAAUUUGCCAUUGUGGA